This 497-nucleotide ribosomal RNA is filed under the name uncultured bacterium. RNAcentral's name for it is "partial 16S ribosomal RNA". It matches the Rfam family "Bacterial small subunit ribosomal RNA", at positions 28 to 507 of the family's 1533-position model. The record is from RNAcentral.
GAUGAACACUGGCGGCGUGCCUAAUACAUGCAAGUCGAGCGAACGGACGAGAAGCUUGCUUUUCUGAUGUUAGCGGCGGACGGGUGAGUAACACGUGGAUAACCUACCUAUAAGACUGGGAUAACUUCGGGAAACCGGAGCUAAUACCGGAUAAUAUUUUGAACCGCAUGGUUCAAAAGUGAAAGACGGUCUUGCUGUCACUUAUAGAUGGAUCCGCGCUGCAUUAGCUAGUUGGUAAGGUAACGGCUUACCAAGGCAACGAUGCAUAGCCGACCUGAGAGGGUGAUCGGCCACACUGGAACUGAGACACGGUCCAGACUCCUACGGGAGGCAGCAGUAGGGAAUCUUCCGCAAUGGGCGAAAGCCUGACGGAGCAACGCCGCGUGAGUGAUGAAGGUCUUCGGAUCGUAAAACUCUGUUAUUAGGGAAGAACAUAUGUGUAAGUAACUGUGCACAUCUUGACGGUACCUAAUCAGAAAGCCACGUCUAACUACGUG